RNAcentral lists this microRNA (24 nucleotides) under Gossypium hirsutum (cotton). RNAcentral describes it as "microRNA ath-miR853-like". Lineage: Eukaryota; Viridiplantae; Streptophyta; Magnoliopsida; Malvales; Malvaceae. The record is from RNAcentral.
CGCCCUCUUUAGUUUGGUGAAUGC